ACAUGCAGUCGAGCGGAACGAGUUAUCUGAACCUUCGGGGAACGAUAACGGCGUCGAGCGGCGGACGGGUGAGUAAUGCCUAGGAAAUUGCCCUGAUGUGGGGGAUAACCAUUGGAAACGAUGGCUAAUACCGCAUAAUACCUUCGGGUCAAAGAGGGGGACCUUCGGGCCUCUCGCGUCAGGAUAUGCCUAGGUGGGAUUAGCUAGUUGGUGAGGUAAUGGCUCACCAAGGCGACGAUCCCUAGCUGGUCUGAGAGGAUGAUCAGCCACACUGGAACUGAGACACGGUCCAGACUCCUACGGGAGGCAGCAGUGGGGAAUAUUGCACAAUGGGCGCAAGCCUGAUGCAGCCAUGCCGCGUGUGUGAAGAAGGCCUUCGGGUUGUAAAGCACUUUCAGUCGUGAGGAAGGUAGUGUAGUUAAUAGCUGCAUUAUUUGACGUUAGCGACAGAAGAAGCACCGGCUAACUCCGUGCCAGCAGCCGCGGUAAUACGGAGGGUGCGAGCGUUAAUCGGAAUUACUGGGCGUAAAGCGCAUGCAGGUGGUUUGUUAAGUCAGAUGUGAAAGCCCGGGGCUCAACCUCGGAAUAGCAUUUGAAACUGGCAGACUAGAGUACUGUAGAGGGGGGUAGAAUUUCAGGUGUAGCGGUGAAAUGCGUAGAGAUCUGAAGGAAUACCGGUGGCGAAGGCGGCCCCCUGGACAGAUACUGACACUCAGAUGCGAAAGCGUGGGGAGCAAACAGGAUUAGAUACCCUGGUAGUCCACGCCGUAAACGAUGUCUACUUGGAGGUUGUGGCCUUGAGCCGUGGCUUUCGGAGCUAACGCGUUAAGUAGACCGCCUGGGGAGUACGGUCGCAAGAUUAAAACUCAAAUGAAUUGACGGGGGCCCGCACAAGCGGUGGAGCAUGUGGUUUAAUUCGAUGCAACGCGAAGAACCUUACCUACUCUUGACAUCCAGAGAACUUUCCAGAGAUGGAUUGGUGCCUUCGGGAACUCU
RNAcentral lists this ribosomal RNA (996 nucleotides) under Vibrio harveyi. Its description in RNAcentral is "bacterial SSU rRNA". It matches the Rfam family "Bacterial small subunit ribosomal RNA", at positions 53 to 1030 of the family's 1533-position model. Lineage: Bacteria; Pseudomonadati; Pseudomonadota; Gammaproteobacteria; Vibrionales; Vibrionaceae. The record is from RNAcentral.